GUCUACGGCUAUACCACCCUGAACAUACCCUAUCUCAUUGGGUUGUAGAAGCUAAGCAGGAUCAGGACUGGUUAGUACUCGGAUAAGAAAAUAUGAUAUAGAUC
This 104-nucleotide ribosomal RNA is filed under the name Sus scrofa (pig). Lineage: Eukaryota; Metazoa; Chordata; Mammalia; Artiodactyla; Suidae. The record is from RNAcentral.